Hippocampus comes (tiger tail seahorse) is the source of this 321-nucleotide long non-coding RNA. RefSeq lists it as uncharacterized. The transcript has 2 exons. The record is from RefSeq and is a predicted model, not a curated record. Lineage: Eukaryota; Metazoa; Chordata; Actinopteri; Syngnathiformes; Syngnathidae.
UGUCCUGAUAAGAACACUUUUGGAUGACAUCAUGUGUUCGUCUUCCAUGGAGGCAUAAAGGGACAUCCCUGGAAAGGAGAUGACAACACUAUACAGUGAACUUCCAAACUCCACGCAGGAAGGCCGGAGCCCAGAUUCGAAGCCAUGAACCUGACCUGUGAGGCAGAUCCGCCAGGCUGUCUGAUCCAUUUGACCAACAGGUGCAUGUUAUGAUCAUGUGGCAAUUAUAUGUGAUUCAUUUAUUGCUUUUUAAGGUGGCAACAGAAAAAUUAUUUCGGCAAUUUUCAAUAUUUACUUCAUAAAGGUGGAAUUAAAAUCCAA